GGCGGUCAGAGACUAAUGGAGACACGGCUUGAGAGUGAUGACGGGGGAACAGAGGACGGAGAGCUCAGGAGGGCCCAGGUGAGGAGAAGCCUUGUGGUCUGGUGCAGCAUUUAACAGCUGCUGACAAACUGCAUGGGUUUGAAUCCAGAGCCCAUCACCUGAUAGUUUUGUGAUCCUGAGUAAGACAAGCAACAUCCAGAGAGAUAUCAUAACUUGCCAAAGGCAUGACAGCUGACACUGAGCCCGGGCUCUGCCAUCCUGAGCAUAUGAUGCUAGGCAAGUCACAUCACCUCUCUGUGCCUCAGUUUCCUCUCAACCAAAGACUAUCAUCUCUUCCCAACCUUCUACCUCACAGAGUAGUUUGGAGGAUCCCAUAAAACAAUGUCUGUGAAAAAGGCUUUUUCUUUAAAAAAUAAAUUGCACAAAUAUCAGAUCACAAAGGACGAAGACCCUUUACAGAGGAGCAAGUUCUCUAGGGCACAGCUCCCUCCGAGCAAGACUUUGUAGAGAAUCGUGACCCCGGGAACCCUGCAUCAGCAUCGCCAGUGGAUGCUGGUAUUAAUUCUGUGGACAUCAGGAGCAUGAGAAGAGACAAGGCCUUCGUGACAUUGCACAUGCAUGCUGGGUAAAUGGCUUUGCAGGGGAAAUGUCUGGAAGGCAGAGGGCUAGGAAGAAGAGUUUAUUUAGGGGGAACAUUGCAAAGAUAAUACUUCAAACUCCUUUGUAGAAAAAACUUACUUAAAAAUCCAGACCCAAAGGCUGCAGAAAGGAGUCACCCAGCAAGCACUUAACAGCCAGCGAUAACUAACAGUUUGGUACAAAAGACCAAAACUAAAGUGGGAGUGGGGAGCCGGACAAGCCAGAGUGUGCCUCACAGGCAAUGUAUCAAUAAGUUUCUUUUGGGCUUCCCUGGUGGCGCAGUGGUUGAGAGUCCGCCUGCCAAUGUAGGGGACACGGGUUCAUGCCCCGGACUGGGAAGAUCCCACAU
Non-coding RNA from Kogia breviceps (pygmy sperm whale), 988 nucleotides. NCBI's taxonomy places the organism in Eukaryota, Metazoa, Chordata, Mammalia, Artiodactyla, Physeteridae. The record is from RefSeq and is a predicted model, not a curated record.